GGAUAACUACCCUUUAGGACUGGGAUAACCCUGGGAAACUGGGGCUAAUACCGGAUAGGCAAUUUUUCCUGUAAUGGUUCUUUGUUUAAAUGUUCUUUCGCCUAAGGAUGGGUCUGCGGCCGAUUAGGUAGUUGGUUAGGUAAUGGCUUACCAAGCCGUUGAUCGGUACGGGUUGUGAGAGCAAGAGCCCGGAGAUGGAACCUGAGACAAGGUUCCAGGCCCUACGGGGCGCAGCAGGCGCGAAACCUCCACAAUGUGAGAAAUCGCGAUGGGGGGAUCCCAAGUGCCAUUCUUAACGGGAUGGCUUUUCAUUAGUGUAAAAAGCUUUUGGAAUAAGAGCUGGGCAAGACCGGUGCCAGCCGCCGCGGUAACACCGGCAGCUCUAGUGGUAGCAACUUUUAUUGGGCCUAAAGCGUCCGUAGCCGGUUUAAUAAGUCUCUGGUGAAAUCCUGUAGCUUAACUGUGGGAAUUGCUGGAGAUACUAUUAGACUUGAGACCGGGAGAGGUUAGAGGUACUCCCAGGGUAGAGGUGAAAUUCUGUAAUCCUGGGAGGACCGCCUGUUGCGAAGGCGUCUAACUGGAACGGUUCUGACGGUGAGGGACGAAAGUUAGGGGCGCGAACCGGAUUAGAUACCCGGGUAGUCCUAACUGUAGACGAUGCGGACUUGGUGUUGGGGUGGCUUUGAGCUGUUCCAGUGCCGAAGGGAAGCUGUUAAGUCCGCCGCCUGGGAAGUACGGU
RNAcentral lists this ribosomal RNA (739 nucleotides) under uncultured archaeon. RNAcentral describes it as "bacterial SSU rRNA". It matches the Rfam family "Archaeal small subunit ribosomal RNA", at positions 102 to 841 of the family's 1478-position model. The record is from RNAcentral.